This 441-nucleotide ribosomal RNA is filed under the name Bacillus paralicheniformis. RNAcentral's name for it is "bacterial SSU rRNA". It matches the Rfam family "Bacterial small subunit ribosomal RNA", at positions 1 to 431 of the family's 1533-position model. Lineage: Bacteria; Bacillati; Bacillota; Bacilli; Caryophanales; Bacillaceae. The record is from RNAcentral.
UUCAUGGAGAGUUUGAUCCUGGCUCAGGACGAACGCUGGCGGCGUGCCUAAUACAUGCAAGUCGAGCGGACCGACGGGAGCUUGCUCCCUUAGGUCAGCGGCGGACGGGUGAGUAACACGUGGGUAACCUGCCUGUAAGACUGGGAUAACUCCGGGAAACCGGGGCUAAUACCGGAUGCUUGAUUGAACCGCAUGGUUUAAUUAUAAAAGGUGGCUUUUAGCUACCACUUACAGAUGGACCCGCGGCGCAUUAGCUAGUUGGUGAGGUAACGGCUCACCAAGGCAACGAUGCGUAGCCGACCUGAGAGGGUGAUCGGCCACACUGGGACUGAGACACGGCCCAGACUCCUACGGGAGGCAGCAGUAGGGAAUCUUCCGCAAUGGACGAAAGUCUGACGGAGCAACGCCGCGUGAGUGAUGAAGGUUUUCGGAUCGUAAAAC